UACGUAGGGGGCGAGCGUUGUCCGGAUUUAUUGGGCCUAAAGCAUCCGUAGCCGGUUCUGCAAGUCUUCCGUUAAAUCCACCUGCUUAACAGAUGGGCCGCGGAAGAUACUAUAGAGCUAGGAGGCGGGAGAGGCAAGCGGUACUCGAUGGGUAGGGGUAAAAUCCGUUGAUCCAUUGAAGACCACCAGUGGCGAAGGCGGCUUGCCAGAACGCGCUCGACGGUGAGGGAUGAAAGCUGGGGGAGCAAACAGG
RNAcentral lists this ribosomal RNA (253 nucleotides) under uncultured bacterium. RNAcentral's name for it is "partial 16S ribosomal RNA". It matches the Rfam family "Bacterial small subunit ribosomal RNA", at positions 524 to 776 of the family's 1533-position model. The record is from RNAcentral.